This 898-nucleotide long non-coding RNA is filed under the name Homo sapiens (human). Its description in RNAcentral is "PREDICTED lncRNA (TCONS_00274656)". Lineage: Eukaryota; Metazoa; Chordata; Mammalia; Primates; Hominidae. The record is from RNAcentral.
CUGGUCGCCUGGCUCCUCCACGUGCACUUGAUGCUCCAGCCAGAUAGACUGUGCACACCUGGGCAGAGGGAGUGCUGGAAUACUCCUCAUGAAGUCUAUCCAGUCACAUCUAGUUAAGACCAGCAGCACUCUCCUGUCCAAAUGGAUGACCCAUGUUACGACUAAGGAACAGAAGACCAAAUAACAAACUGCUCCUCAGAUCCAUUAUGGAGGCCUUCUUGGCUCAAUUCCUGAAUAUGAUAUAUCCUUAUAAUUUUGUUUUCUCUCCAAAAAAGAAUAUGCUGGCAAUGAAAGGAGUUCAUCUUGUCUAAGAGGAGGGACUGGAAAAAUAAUUUAUUUUGAGAUAGGGUCUCACUCUGUUGCCCAGGCUGGAGUGCAGUGGUGCAAUCUCGGCUCACUGCAACCUCUGUCUCCUGGGUUCAAGCGAUUCUUGUGCCUCAGCCUCCACAGUAGCUGGGACUACAGGCACGGGCCACCACGCCUGGCCAAUUUUUGUAUUUUUAGUAGAUACGGGGUUUCACCAUGUUGGCCCAGCUGGUCUCGAACUCCUGAUCUCAAGUGAUCCUCCCACCUUGGCCUCCCAAAGUGCUGGGAUUUGUUUUUAAUUUUUAAAAAUUAGCCAGGUUUUGCCAGGCGUGGUGGCUCUCACCUGUAAUCCCAGCACUUUGGGAGGCUGAGGCAGGUGGAUCACGAGGUUAGGAGAUGGAGACUAUCCUGGCCAAUAUGGUGAAAACCUGUCUCUACUAAAAAUACGAAAAAAUGAGCUGGGUGUGGUGGCACGCACCUGUAAUCCUAGCUACUCAGGAGGCUGACGGAGUAGAAUCGCUUGAACCUGGGAGGCGGAGAUUGCAGUGAGCCGAGAUCGUGUCACUGCACUGCAGCCUGGUGACAGAGCGAG